GAUGAACGCUGGCGGCGUGCCUAAUACAUGCAAGUCGAGCGAACAGAUAAGGAGCUUGCUCCUUUGACGUUAGCGGCGGACGGGUGAGUAACACGUGGGUAACCUACCUAUAAGACUGGAAUAACUCCGGGAAACCGGGGCUAAUGCCGGAUAACAUUUAGAACCGCAUGGUUCUAAAGUGAAAGAUGGUUUUGCUAUCACUUAUAGAUGGACCCGCGCCGUAUUAGCUAGUUGGUAAGGUAACGGCUUACCAAGGCAACGAUACGUAGCCGACCUGAGAGGGUGAUCGGCCACACUGGAACUGAGACACGGUCCAGACUCCUACGGGAGGCAGCAGUAGGGAAUAUUCCGCAAUGGGCGAAAGCCUGACGGAGCAACACCGCGUGAGUGAUGAAGGUCUUCGGAUCGUAAAACUCUGUUAUUAGGGAAGAACAAAUGUGUAAGUAACUGUGCACGUCUUGACGGUACCUAAUCAGAAAGCCCCGGCUAACUACGUG
Molecule: ribosomal RNA, 497 nt
Filed under: uncultured bacterium
Lineage: Bacteria
Description: partial 16S ribosomal RNA
Rfam family: Bacterial small subunit ribosomal RNA
Source: RNAcentral